GUAGGUGGCAAGCGUUGUCCGGAAUUAUUGGGCGUAAAGCGCGCGCAGGUGGUUCUUUAAGUCUGAUGUGAAAGCCCCCGGCUCAACCGGGGAGGGUCAUUGGAAACUGGGGAACUUGAGUGCAGGAGAGGAAAGUGGAAUUCCACGUGUAGCGGUGAAACGCGUAGAUAUGUGGAGGAACACCAGUGGCGAAGGCGACUUUCUGGCCUGUAACUGACACUGAGGCGCGAAAGCGUGGGGAGCAAACAGGGAUUAGAUACCCUGGUAGUCCACGCCGUAAACGAUGAGUGCUAAGUGUUGGGGGGGUUUCCCGCCCCUCAGUGCUGCAGCUAACGCAUUAAGCACUCCGCCUGGGGAUACGGCCGCAAGACUG
RNAcentral lists this ribosomal RNA (373 nucleotides) under uncultured organism. RNAcentral's name for it is "partial 16S ribosomal RNA". It matches the Rfam family "Bacterial small subunit ribosomal RNA", at positions 527 to 896 of the family's 1533-position model. The record is from RNAcentral.